GUAUCGUGGUUUACCCCAAGGUUUGGGCUUCGUCCACACUGAUAGUGUAUUUAUUUGAGGGAGAGAGAGCUCUGAGAGUGAGAGCGUUGAGAGAGGGUGAGAGGGCCUAGGAAUUGGCUUCCUCUAAUUGUGAGGGUGAGGGGUCCUUUUAUAGAAUAAGGACUCCUCACUUAUUACAUAUUUGUCAUUUUCUUUCUUACAUGAUUA
RNAcentral lists this long non-coding RNA (207 nucleotides) under Malus domestica (apple). RNAcentral describes it as "long non-coding RNA (MDOM_LNC004396)". Lineage: Eukaryota; Viridiplantae; Streptophyta; Magnoliopsida; Rosales; Rosaceae. The record is from RNAcentral.